GUCACUGCUAUUGGGAUUCGACUAAGCCAUGCGAGUCGAGAGGGUUCGGCCCUCGGCUGACGGCUCAGUAACACGUGGAUAAUCUGCCCUUAGGUGGAGGAUAAUCUCGGGAAACUGAGGAUAAUACUCCAUAGAUCUAGGAUGCUGGAAUGCAUUUAGAUUGAAAGCUCCGGCGCCUAAGGAUGAGUCUGCGGACUAUCAGGUUGUAGUCAGGGUAAAGACCUGACUAGCCUACGACGGAUACGGGUUGUGAGAGCAAUAACCCGGAGACGAUAUCUGAGACACGAUAUCGGGCCCUACGGGGCGCAGCAGGCGCGAAAACUUCACACUGUGCGAAAGCGCGAUGAGGGAAUCCCAAGUGUUUGCUCGUAAGAGUAAACUGUUUCUUUGUUUAAAACGCAGAGAGAGUAAGGGCUGGGUAAGACGGGUGCCAGCCGCCGCGGUAAUACCUGCAGCUCAAGUGGUGAUCAUCAUUAUUGGGCCUAAAACGUCCGUAGCCGGUUUAGUAAAUGCCUGGGUAAAUCGUGUAGCUUAACUAUACGACUUCCGGGUAGACUGCUAAACUUGAGACCGGGAGAGGCUAGAGGUACUCCUGGGGUAGAGGUGAAAUUCUGUAAUCCUAGGGGGACCACCAGUGGCGAAGGCGUCUAGCUAGAACGGGUCUGACGGUGAGGGACGAAGCCCUGGGGCACAAACCGGAUUAGAUACCCGGGUAGUCCAGGGUGUAAACGCUGCUUGCUUGAUGUUAGUUGGGCUCCGAGCCCAACUAGUGUCGGAGAGAAGUUGUUAAGCAAGCUGCCUGGGAAGUACGGUCGCAAGGCUGAAACUUAAAGGAAUUGGCGGGGGAGCACAGCAACGGGUGGAGCGUGCGGUUUAAUUGGAGUCAACGCCGGA
This 894-nucleotide ribosomal RNA is filed under the name uncultured archaeon. RNAcentral describes it as "bacterial SSU rRNA". It matches the Rfam family "Archaeal small subunit ribosomal RNA", at positions 23 to 922 of the family's 1478-position model. The record is from RNAcentral.